CCUACGGGAGGCAGCAGUGAGGAAUAUUGGUCAAUGGGAGAGAUCCUGAACCAGCCAAGCCGCGUGAGGGAAGACGGCCCUAUGGGUUGUAAACCUCUUUUGUCGGGGAACAAAACCCGGGACGUGUCCCGGACUGCGUGUAUCCGAAGAAAAAGCAUCGGCUAACUCCGUGCCAGCAGCCGCGGUAAUACGGAGGAUGCGAGCGUUAUCCGGAUUUAUGGGGUUUAAAGGGGGCGUAGGGGGUCGGUAAAGUCAGCGGUAAAAUUGCGGGGCUCAACCGCGACGGGCCGUUGAAACUGGCAGGCUUGAGUGCGGAAGAAGUAGGCGGAAUGCGGGGUGUAGCGGUGAAAUGCAGAGAUAUCGCGCAGAACUCCGAUUGCGAAGGCAGCGCACGGGGGCCAGAUUGACGCUGAGGCACGAAAGCGUGGGGAUCGAACAGGAUUAGAUACCCCGGUAGUC
RNAcentral lists this ribosomal RNA (459 nucleotides) under uncultured bacterium. Its description in RNAcentral is "partial 16S ribosomal RNA". It matches the Rfam family "Bacterial small subunit ribosomal RNA", at positions 338 to 795 of the family's 1533-position model. The record is from RNAcentral.